UGGGGGAUAUUGCACAAUGGGCGAAAGCCUGAUGCAGCGACGCCGCGUGGGGGAUGAAGGCCUUCGGGUUGUAAACUUCUUUUGCUCUGAACAAGGCGCACCAUGGGGUGUGUUGAGUGUAGGGGUUGAUUAGCGCCGGCUAACUACGUGCCAGCAGCCGCGGUAAUACGUAGGGCGCGAGCGUUGUCCGGAAUUAUUGGGCGUAAAGGGCUUGUAGGUGGCUGGUUGCGUCUGUCGUGAAAGCUCAUGGCUUAACUGUGGGUUUGCGGUGGGUACGGGCUGGCUUGAGUGCAGUAGGGGAGGCUGGAAUUCCUGGUGUAGCGGUGGAAUGCGCAGAUAUCAGGAGGAAUACUGGUGGCGAAGGCGGGUCUCUGGGCUGUUACUGACACUGAGGAGCGAAAGCAUGGGGAGCGAACAGG
This 419-nucleotide ribosomal RNA is filed under the name bacterium. RNAcentral describes it as "partial 16S ribosomal RNA". It matches the Rfam family "Bacterial small subunit ribosomal RNA", at positions 355 to 776 of the family's 1533-position model. The record is from RNAcentral.